This 1058-nucleotide long non-coding RNA is filed under the name Cricetulus griseus (Chinese hamster). RNAcentral describes it as "lncRNA (ENSCGRG00015030598.1)". Lineage: Eukaryota; Metazoa; Chordata; Mammalia; Rodentia; Cricetidae. The record is from RNAcentral.
GCUUUAUUUGUUUCCCAAAAUUAUAUUGGGACUUGUUGAAAGCAUUGUGUGACUUCUAUAAAUGGCUAUUUUCUUGUAACUGUCAGUGAUAUGGAUGUGUACAUUGUUUUAUAUAUACAUAUAUAUAUAUAUAUAUACAUAUAUAUAUUUCUGGGGGUAAUUUCUUUUUAGGGUCGACAGUGUUUUUUUGUUUUGUUUUUUUAAGUUACCUUUUGCCAAUGACUUUUUCUGCUAGCUUUUACUUUCAUUCAGCUUUCUAACGGAGUUCAUUCUUAUUGUGUUGUCAACUUGCCUGUAAGAGAGACUUCAUCUCAUCAGUGAAGGAGGUGUUUCGUUAUUCCCACGAGUCUUACAGCAAGCACAGAUUCUUCAUAAGGAUCAGAUCUCUUCCACGUCUGUGUCAGUCACAUAAAGGACACUGAAGCCUUCAUUUCUUUGUACUGAUAUGAUGGUGUUAUACACUACAUCACUAGCUAGUUAAGGUUUUGUGACCUGACUUCUUCGUCUUCCUAGAUUUCACAGAACUUAUUCAAGCUACAAGGAGGAAUAAUGAAGAUUGAGGCUACUGCUCAUUAUCAUUUUUGUCAUUCAUACUUUUUAAAGAGUUUGCAUUUAUAGAACUCUGAAUAGCUGACCAUUUACAUACCUGAAGGACAUGUCCCUGAAUGAGACCAUUAUAUAUAUUAACUAAAAUAUUUCACUAUUUUUUUAUUUUAUAAAUCUUUGUAGAAAUGAGCAAUGAAAUGCUACUUUCAUCUUUUGAAAUGGGAUUUUUCAAGGUAGUGUCCUUUUGGCAUUAAGGUAGGGGGGAGUUAAUAUUCUCUCUACUUAUUUCCACAUGAAUCAAUAUGAAGUCGUGGACAUUUAAAAAUCUCAAUUUAAUUUCUACUUAUUUACUAUGCAGUAUAGCCGUGAACAAGUAAUGUAGAUUUAGUUUCUCAUCUUCAAAUGCCCUGAUCACCCUACCUCACAGGGUUGUUGUGAGGAUAAAUAAAACUUUUAUGGAAGUACUUUUCUUUGAUGCCAUUUUAUCAGCCAUCAGAAACAAUGGAAUUUUG